GACGAACGCUGGCGGCGUGCUUAACACAUGCAAGUCGAACGAUGAACCCGGAGCUUGCUCCGGUGGAUUAGUGGCGAACGGGUGAGUAACACGUGAGUAACCUGCCCUUGACUCUGGGAUAACUGCGGGAAACUGUAGCUAAUACCGGAUACGACCCUCGGCGGCAUCGCCAGGGGGUGGAAAGAAUUUCGGUCAAGGAUGGACUCGCGGCCUAUCAGCUAGUUGGUGGGGUAACGGCUCACCAAGGCGACGACGGGUAGCCGGCCUGAGAGGGUGACCGGCCACACUGGGACUGAGACACGGCCCAGACUCCUACGGGAGGCAGCAGUGGGGAAUAUUGCACAAUGGGCGCAAGCCUGAUGCAGCAACGCCGCGUGAGGGAUGACGGCCUUCGGGUUGUAAACCACUUUUAUCAGGGAAGAAUCUUCGGAUGACCGUACCUGAUGAAUAAGAGGGUGCUAACUCUGUGCCAGCAGCCGCGGUAA
This 485-nucleotide ribosomal RNA is filed under the name uncultured bacterium. Its description in RNAcentral is "partial 16S ribosomal RNA". It matches the Rfam family "Bacterial small subunit ribosomal RNA", at positions 28 to 523 of the family's 1533-position model. The record is from RNAcentral.